AAGUCGUAACAAGGUCUCCGUAGGUGAACCUGCGGAGGGAUCAUUAAAGAGUGAAGGGCCGAGAAAUCGCCCGACCUCCAACCCUUUGUUGUACUUACCAUGUUGCCUCGGGGAGGACGAUUCUCGUCACAGAGUGUCGAAUUCCCCGGUGGACCAAUAUAACUCUGUUUUAACUACAAGUCUGAGUAAAAACAUUUUAAAUUUAUACAAAACUUUCAACAACGGAUCUCUUGGUUCUG
This 239-nucleotide unclassified non-coding RNA is filed under the name Peltaster fructicola. Its description in RNAcentral is "partial internal transcribed spacer region". The stretch from base 1 to 46 matches the Rfam family "Eukaryotic small subunit ribosomal RNA", at positions 1786 to 1831 of the family's 1831-position model. Lineage: Eukaryota; Fungi; Ascomycota; Dothideomycetes. The record is from RNAcentral.